RNAcentral lists this ribosomal RNA (305 nucleotides) under uncultured bacterium. RNAcentral's name for it is "bacterial SSU rRNA". It matches the Rfam family "Bacterial small subunit ribosomal RNA", at positions 335 to 658 of the family's 1533-position model. The record is from RNAcentral.
GUCCUACGGGAGGCAGCAGUGGGGAAUAUUGCACAAUGGGGGAAACCCUGAUGCAGCGACGCCGCGUGAGUGAAGAAGUAUUUCGGUAUGUAAAGCUCUAUCAGCAGGGAAGAUAAUGACGGUACCUGACUAAGAAGCCCCGGCUAACUACGUGCCAGCAGCCGCGGUAAUACGUAGGGGGCAAGCGUUAUCCGGAUUUACUGGGUGUAAAGGGAGCGUAGGUGGCAGGGCAAGUCAGAUGUGAAAACCCGGGGCUCAACUCCGGGAGUGCAUUUGAAACUGUCCAGCUAGAGUGCAGGAGAGGG